Molecule: non-coding RNA, 1762 nt
Organism: Oryctolagus cuniculus (rabbit)
Lineage: Eukaryota; Metazoa; Chordata; Mammalia; Lagomorpha; Leporidae
Source: RefSeq, a predicted model, not a curated record
AGCUAGGUUUUACUUUUUAAAAAAGUCUUAUUUAUUAUUUGAAAUUCAGAGUUACACACAGAGAGGAUGAGAGGCAGAGGCAGAAUGGCAGAGAGAGAGAGAGGGAGAGGUUAUCCAUCUGCUGGUCCACUCCACAGUUGGCUGCAAUGGCUGGCGCUGAGAGGAUUCAGGGUGAGGAGCUAGGAGCAAGGAGCCUCCCUGGGGUCUCCUGCAUGGGGACAGGUCCCCAGGACUUGGGCCAUCUUCGACUGCCUUCCCAGACCAUAGCAGAGAACUGCAUCAGAAGUGGACCAGCUGGGACUCGAACCGGCGUCAUAUGGGAUGCUGGCACUGCAGGCAGUGGCUUGACCCGCUAUCCCCCAGCGCCGGCCCCUCCCAGAAGCUGUUCCCCCUGGGAUCCAGCUGUCUGCUAACAUGCCUGGGAAAGCAGAGGGAGACGGCCCAAGGACUUAAGCCCCUGAACCCAGAAUGGAGCACCAGAAAAAAGUCCUUGGCUUCUUCUUUGGCCUGUCCCAGCCCUGGCCUUUGUAGCCACCUGAGGGGUGAACCCGCAGAUGGACGAUCACUGAGAGAGAGAGAAAGAGUGCUGGCGAUGCCCCCUGUACUGCUUCUCUCCCCAAACGGCUUUGACGGCCAGCACUGGAUCAGGCAGAAGUCAGGAGGCAGGAGCUCCAUUCAGGACUCCCACGAGGGAGGGAGGGAGGCAGGGAGGCAGGGAGGCAGGGAGGCAGGAGGCAGCGAGCCAGGGUCCAGAGUACCCAGGCCUCAGCGGCUGCCUCCCUGGAUCACAACCUGGAGCAAGAGCAGCUGACUGAGGCGGGCCUGUGGUUUCGGGCGCUGGAUGCGGCAGUGCACAGAUGCGUCCCGUGGCGCCAUGGCGAUGGCCAGUGAGGAGUGCGCCUGCGCCCGGUGCUUUGACCCGGAAGUGCACCCACAGGCGUGGCCGCUUCUGCCCUCAGUGCAUGGGUGCGAGUCAGGGCCGUGCCCACUCCUGCCCACGGCUUGAGCGAGCCUUGAGGAGCCGUCUUUGACGCUGGUGGCCAAACCUGAGGAGUCCAGGGCCUCCCAGGCUCAGGCCAGGAUCAGACUGCACACAUGGAGGAGAAAGCAGAAGCUUAGAGAAACGCCAAGAAUCCCUCUGUGCUCUGUUCCAGCCUGUCCAAAAUUCUGACACCUCACACCCCUUCUGGAAGCAAUGGCUGUCCCGCCAGCAGACCAGGCCCCCUUGGAGUGGUGAUACCAGUUUACAUUCCCACCAGCAGUGGAUUAGGGUGCCUUUUCCCUCACAUCUUCAAGGUAGAGUUAUAGAAAGUGAGAGAGAGAGAGACAGAGAGAAAGGUCUUCCUUCCGCUGAUUCACUCCCCAAAUGGCCGCCAUGACCGGCGCUGCACUGAUCUGAAGCCAGGAGCCAGGUGCUUCUUCCUGGUCUUUCACAUGGGAGAUGCCUGGGGUGGGGGUGUCCCCCAUUGGAUUCUAGUCUGAGGGAGUCUUCCAUGAUGGAAGUAGAUCUGUGUGUGAAAUGGAUACAUGAGUGUUGAGGGAGACGUUGGUUAACAGAUGGACAUUGCAGCCAUCCGGCACAGUGGGAUGCCUGCAUCCCACACUGGAGUUGGUUUGAGUUCAGGCUCCUCUUCUUCUGAUCCAGCUUCCUGUGAAUGCGCUCCAUGGGUCCCUGCCACUCACGCGGAGACAGGGUUUGAGCUUUGGGCCGAGCACCACCUUGGCUGUGUCACACCAGGAGCAGAAGAAGCUGACUGAAGUG